RNAcentral lists this ribosomal RNA (253 nucleotides) under uncultured bacterium. RNAcentral's name for it is "partial 16S ribosomal RNA". It matches the Rfam family "Bacterial small subunit ribosomal RNA", at positions 524 to 776 of the family's 1533-position model. The record is from RNAcentral.
UACAGAGGUGGCAAGCGUUGUUCGGAAUUACUGGGCGUAAAGGGCGCGUAGGCGGCCCACUAAGUCAGACGUGAAAUCCCCCGGCUUAACCUGGGAACUGCGUCUGAUACUGGAGGGCUUGAGUAUGGGAGAGGGAUGUAGAAUUCCAGGUGUAGCGGUGAAAUGCGUAGAUAUCUGGAGGAAUACCGGUGGCGAAGGCGGUUCUCUGGGACGGUACUGACGCUGAGACGCGAAAGCGUGGGGAGCGAACAGG